CUUUUAAUGUAAUUGCUGAUUAUUUUCCUUACUUUGUUAUCAUAAAGUUUGUUGUUGUUAUUUAAGUUUUUAUUUUUUAUCUUCUCUGCUGUCCGAGAUAUCCAUGUUAUUGUCUUUCCCCCCUUGUUACCUGUCCACAAAAUCAGCUUGUUAUGGUGACUGGGGGCACGCUGACGUCAUCAAGCAUAUAAACUAUAGUCAUGUCACGAUCUUGUCGAUUGGUUUUUUGAGUUAACCAAGGAAUCCAACACAAAAUGGCGUCUUACAGAAGAGACCUAAAAAUCUUAUCGAUCGCUCAGCUUGUAAUGGCGGGUAUCCUCUUCAUACUCGGAAUGGUAGACUAUUUUGAGGUUCGCUACAUGUAUGCCAGUUUCAUAUUGAUGCCAGUUUGGAUUAGCCUUCUUGUCGUACCCGUGGGCAUCAUGGGAUUGGUUUUGGUGGAGAAAUCCAGUCCUUCCUCUGCUAUGAUAAACAUCCUAAGUUCAGUGAGCAUCACAUGUGCGGCUGUGGCAGUACUAACCAUUUAUACCUAUGCAACGACACUGAACUACAUAUUGUCCUACAAAUAUUGGGAGGCACAACGUGAUAAUGGUGAUUCUGAAAAUCCAUGGUUUGCUAAUAAAAAGGCAGAAAUCGACUUCCGAAAAGAGGAAAAAACCAUGAUAGCUGUACAUGCCUUGAUUAUCAUGUGUUCCAUCCUCCAAGUUAUACUUGCCAUGGCAAGUGUCCGAACUGGUGAGGCACUGGCUAAGGAGCCGCAUGAAACCCAGGCAAGCGUUGGAUAUCGCCAAGUGGCAGAGGAAGAUGUCCCUUUGUUGUUCUCGAAUACAGAACAGGAGGCAGACUAGUUGGUAUCAGCUCCUGGUCAUACAUUGCUGGAUAGAGGGCGACCUAACUUAAUAACAUAACGUAACCAAACGCUUUUUAAACGACAUGGAAGCAAAUUGAUUGUUAUAACCACAAAACAAGAAUGUUAUCAGUAGUAAUUUGAGUCAUCUCGUUUCCAAGAUUUUGACAUUUUCACAUUGAUAGAUAAGAUGAAAAAAUAGCAUGUAAAAGCAGAUUUGCAUUCUCACAUUCAUUUUACUUCAUUAUGACUUCCAUGAGUUCGCAGACUUAAGGUGCCUACAAAACUUCCAGUGCAAGUGGUUAAAAAGUUUGCAGAAUGAACCUCUCAAGACCUACUUGACUGGAAGACGAAGUACAAACAAGGGUUCCUUUACUACUGCUAAUAAAAUUCACAUUAAUAUUGACACCAUAUAUAUUAAUAUUCUCUGGUAGUACUGAAGAACACUGAGAUUUAAUAGUAUCGAAAAAGAAGGCGCUUCCAUAUUCAACAAUAGCAUCUGAUGUGUCAGAGUUCCAAUAACUACAAGGCUUUAGAACUGAAAAACAAAUGGCAUACAAUGCUAAAGCAGAGCUCUUUGCUGCAGUACAAAUUUUAUUAUUAUCAGAAAUAUUAAGUAAAGCACCAACAGAAUCCUGCUGUGAAGUAUUACUGGUCCUGGAAGUUGCUUCGAUGUCAUUAUUAAUGCUUAUUGAAGACUUCUCAAAUAUUGCAAAAAAUCAACCUUUGGGGUGGCUAUGUAACAGAUCGUAGCAUGAAGUGUAAUUUCUGACUGAACUGCACAAAGUCAUAUACCCAAAGAGAGUCAUCUUUUAUAGUCACAGUGAAAUCAGGUGAUUUAAACAUCGAACCAUGCCCUUGAGUACAUAAUUUUGCCCUAAGACAUCCAUCGUUAAAGGAAAAAAUACUUGGUCAAUUAUAUCACAUAGUUCUAUAGAUAAAAAUUUUGGAAGUAUAACAAAAUGUUGCACCAUUGAAAUAUCUCCAGAAUCCUUUUGACAAAUAUCACAUUUAAGUCUACUGCUUUUUCUUGAUAUAGUUGCAGAAACCCUAUCUUGAAAUUUGAUUUGAGACAAGUCUGGAGAAGUUAUGUAAAUUGUAAACAAACUUGUGUUGUUGGAAAUUGCUUUAUUACAACAUGAACAAAUUGAUUGCUCUAUCUGUUGAACAAGAAAAAGAGACUUUAACUGUCAAGUCAUCACACCAACUGUAUUCAAUGUAAAUGUCACUAAAUACAGCAUCAUCAGAUGAUGUGGUAAAAGAGUAAUAACAUUGUCUUAAAUAAGCCCAAACAGGUUCUCAGACCACUGUUGUAUCUGCUUGUGCAUCACUAUUUUCUAACUGUAGAGACAUGCUUUUCUAACAAUUUGAAAGAACUCAUUACUGUUGAUACAUGCAUGUUUUAGAGUCUUUAAAAAUGGCAAAUGUAAGUUCCAAAAGAGUCCACUGCACAAGAGAAUUUGCCUGGUUGGGUUAAGCAGAUAUUCAUAAAAUUUUUUUCGACAAUUACGUGAAGAACCAGGUUUGUGGGAGUCCUGAGAAGAAAUUUUAAGGAAGCUGGGUAUUUUCUCCACUGGUUUUAAAAUACUUUGCUUAUUUUGUUGCUGGAAAAUCAUUUGGCAAUCUAUUAAAGGCUCUGUUGAAACAUAAUGAAAUUCAUCCAAGUGCCCAAUAAAAAUAGGAAGCUGUGUGUGUGAAAGAGAGGGAGCAGUCACUCCUUCCACUAAAGUAAUCUCAGCAAAAUCUGGGUGUGAUUCAAUUAAUGUGAAAUUUCAAAUUAAAUGCAUCUGCUACUGCUUUUAUGAUAAUUCCAUCAGCCCUUGGAAGGGCCCUGACACAACGUACUGGUUAAAUAUUGUAUCCAUGAACGUUCACAAUUACUUUCAAUAAAUCUUUCCAGGUUUUCUGUCAAGAAUUGUAUCCCAGCAGCUCGAAUAAUGCCAUGACUGUUUGGAUUUCCAUAUAACUGAUGUGACACUGCUCUAAAGAAGCAAUCUCCAUCACCACCAACAUCCAGGGGUUUCAGUCCAAACUGAUGUAGCCUCAACUCCAAAAUGCUUAAUGUAGGAGCUCUUACUACACUGUUUGUUUUCUUAUAAGUAAAUGGACCUGGGUUUAACUCCACAUCACCAGACAUCAAAAGCUUUUCUUUUGACAUGCAACACUGAUCCUGAUGAAAAUCAAUGCCUACAUUACUGCAGCUGUAAAGAGACUGGCAUCGAAAUUUAAAAUAUUUAGUGAAAAAACAAUCUGUUCUGUGUACAUAAUUUACAUACCAUAACCUAUAAUUCUUCAAUAAAUGAUGCAUUUCGGAUGAAACAGGAGUUAAUUUCAAAAUACUUUUCAUAUAUUUUCUUCUAAUUCGCCUUUUUCUCAUUUUUUUAAUUAGCCUCUUCACAGGUAUUCUGGACAGUUCCCUGUGACUUUUCACAUGUUUGACUAUCCAUCAUUUAAGUUCUCUUACCCUACAUCUGAGGAUGUGGUUUGAACUUUCACUGAACUUAACAUCCUUAGAAUCACAGGAACAUAUACCAUACUUUAACAUCACAACAGGCUUACUUUCAUCUAAACUUUGACUCGACACAGCUUUCACAGUCUCUCAGUCAAUAACAGGUGUAGUAGAAUAACGUGCAGGUAACCCUUGUAAUAUGGUGGCUCCAGUGAUAAUUUCAUGAAGCUGUGCUUUACUUUUCAUGUAACUAAGAAGGACUUCAUUCAUGCCAUACACGGGCUUAUCCAUAUCAUCAGACAAUGGCUUUCAGGUAUCCUCUCAAAGAGAGGCUUAAUAAUCCUCUGAAGAAGCUAGUAUAGCUUUUUUUUUUUUU
Stylophora pistillata is the source of this 3672-nucleotide unclassified non-coding RNA. The record is from RefSeq and is a predicted model, not a curated record. NCBI's taxonomy places the organism in Eukaryota, Metazoa, Cnidaria, Anthozoa, Scleractinia, Pocilloporidae.